This 655-nucleotide ribosomal RNA is filed under the name uncultured bacterium. RNAcentral describes it as "bacterial SSU rRNA". It matches the Rfam family "Bacterial small subunit ribosomal RNA", at positions 56 to 705 of the family's 1533-position model. The record is from RNAcentral.
UGCAGUCGAGGGGCAGCGGGUUCUAGCAAUAGAAUGCCGGCGACCGGCGCACGGGUGCGUAACGCGUAUACAAUUUGCCUUAUACUGGGAGAUAGCCCGGAGAAAUUCGGAUUAAUAUCCUAUAAUAUUGUUGGAUCGCAUGGUUUGACAAUUAAAGCUACGGCGGUAUAAGAUGAGUAUGCGUCUGAUUAGCUAGUUGGUGAGGUAAUGGCUCACCAAGGCUACGAUCAGUAGGGGGCCUGAGAGGGUUAUCCCCCACACUGGUACUGAGACACGGACCAGACUCCUACGGGAGGCAGCAGUGAGGAAUAUUGGUCAAUGGAGGCAACUCUGAACCAGCCAUGCCGCGUGUAGGACGAAUGCCCUAUGGGUUGUAAACUACUUUUAUUGGGGAAGAAACCUUUCUACGUGUAGAGAGCUGACGGUACCCAAGGAAUAAGGACCGGCUAACUCCGUGCCAGCAGCCGCGGUAAUACGGAGGGUCCAAGCGUUAUCCGGAAUCAUUGGGUUUAAAGGGUGCGCAGGCGGUAAAGUAAGUCAGUGGUGAAAUCUCUCGGCUCAACCGAGAAACUGCCAUUGAUACUGCUAUACUUGAAUAUAGUCGAAGUGGGCGGAAUGUGACAUGUAGCGGUGAAAUGCUUAGAUAUGUCACAGA